UACAGGUGGAUGAGGAGAGAAUCCUAAGGCCGACGGAAGAAGCAUUGUUAAGGAAUUCGGCAAAAUGACCCCGUAACUUCGGGAGAAGGGGUGCCUGCGAGAGCAGGCCGCAGAGAAUAGGCUCAAGCAACUGUUUAGCAAAAACACAGGUCUAUGCGAAACCGAAAGGUGAAGUAUAUGGGCUGACGCCUGCCCGGUGCUGGAAGGUUAAGGGGAGAGGUUAGCGAAAGCGAAGCUUUGAAUUUAAGCCCCAGUAAACGGCGGCCGUAACAAUAACGGUCCUAAGGUAGCGAAAUUCCUUGUCGGGUAAGUUCCGACCCGCACGAAAGGCGUAAUGAUUUGAGCACUGUCCCGACAAUGCAUCCGGUGAAAUUGAAGUACCAGUGAAGAUGCUGGUUACCCGCGCCAGGACGGAAAGACCCCAUGGAGCUUUACUCCAGUUUGAUACUGGGAUUCGGUACUGCAUGUACAGGAUAGGUGGGAGACGGAGAAGGAUGGACGCCAGUCUGUCCGGAGUCGCUGUUGGGAUACCACCCCUGUAGUACUGGGUUUCUAACCAGUUACCAUGAUCUGGUAAUGGGACAAUGUCAGGCGGGGAGUUUGACUGGGGCGGUCGCCUCCGAAAGGGUAUCGGAGGCGCUCAAAGGUUCCCUCAGAAUGGUUGGAAACCAUUUGAAGAGUGCAAAGGCAGAAGGGAGCUUGACUGCGACACCGACGGGUGGAGCAGGUACGAAAGUAGGACUUAGUGAUCCGGUGGUAUAAAGUGGGAUUGCCAUCGCUCAACGGAUAAAAGCUACCCUGGGGAUAACAGGCUUAUCACUCCCAAGAGUUCACAUCGACGGAGUGGUUUGGCACCCCGAUGUCGGCUCAUCGCAUCCUGGGGCUGUAGCAGGUCCCAAGGGUUGGGCUGUUCGCCCAUUAAAGCGGUACGCGAGCUGGGUUCAGAACGUCGUGAGACAGUUCGGUCCCUAUCCGGCGCGGGCGGAGGAUAUUUGAGAGGAGCUGUCCUUAGUACGAGAGGACCGGGAUAGACGGACCACUGGUGUAUCUGUUGUCGACCAACGGCAUGGCAGAGUAGCCAAGUCUGGAAGGGAUAAACGCUGAAGGCAUCUAAGCGUGAAGCCCCCCUCAAGAUGAGAUAUCCCUCCUUCGGGAGUAAGACCCCUUGAAGACUACAAGGUAGAUAGGGCAGAGGUGGAAGCAUGGCAACAUGUGGAGCUGACUGUUACUAAUAGGUCGAGGGCUUAAUCAG
This 1252-nucleotide ribosomal RNA is filed under the name metagenome. Its description in RNAcentral is "bacterial LSU rRNA". It matches the Rfam family "Bacterial large subunit ribosomal RNA", at positions 1658 to 2925 of the family's 2925-position model. The record is from RNAcentral.